RNAcentral lists this long non-coding RNA (2106 nucleotides) under Homo sapiens (human). Its description in RNAcentral is "HSALNT0151658". The record is from RNAcentral. Lineage: Eukaryota; Metazoa; Chordata; Mammalia; Primates; Hominidae.
CCGCGCCCUCUCCCACUGGUUGUCCAGCCCACAUCCUGCACUCCCUCCACUGCGCCCCGCUCACACUCCCGCACCCUCCCCACACUGCGCCCUGCCCACACUCCUGCACUCUCUCCCCACUACGCCCCCUACCACAUCCCGCGCCCCCGCCCCCAUCCCCACUGCGCCCCGCCCACACUCCCGCGCCCUCGCGCCCCUGGGCUCUCCCGUCGUGGGCACUCUCCCCAGCGCUUCUACACUUUCUCCCGACGCAGCGCCCUGCCCUCCGUCCCGCCCCACCUAUUGCCUCCUGCGCUUCCCCCACACCGUGCUCUUCCUCCUCCUUCACUUCCUCCCACUCCUCGCGCUCCCCUUCAGCGCCCCACGCAGCCCCUCCCCCAAAACCCCGCGUCGCUCUCCUUCCCUCCUGGCCUCUCUUCCAGUCUCGCGCUCCCUGCCGGGCCCCGCCGCAGGUGUCCCGCAGCCGUCUCCCCAGGGCAUUUGAAUCUUGCCUUGGAGCUCUUGCCGCGCGGCCCAGCACCCUGGAAGAGGCAUCAGGGAGGAUGGGACGACGAGGAAGGGGAAGGUUAUGAAGGGCUGUGACACCUUGCUUGGCUUCUAGUCUUGACAUAGACUAAAAGGCAGAAGGUUUCCAGAGCUCACGCUGGAUGGCUGGGCAGAUGAGGUCUUCAGAGACUCUCCAGGGAGGUACGGCUCUGCCUUUCUACUCAGUAUGCAAGCUCCCCAGACUUCUGAAGAGGGAUGUUUCUCCUUAGAGAAAGUCUCCCUGAAUGUGGGUAUUUCAUAAGUUCUUGGACCAGUUCUGCUCUUCUCAGUCCUGCUUUUUGUCAACAUACAUUGAAUCACUUCUCCCUGGCAAAAGAGCAGCAUGUGAAGAAAAUGUGAUCCUUGGUGGUUUGACAUGAAAUUGACUUUUUCUUCUAGCAACACUUAUGAAUAUUCAAAUACAAUUAUGGAAAAGAUUUUUUGCACUGAUCAGCAUAACAAACAAAUUAGACAUCCCAGUGUGCAAAUAUAACUUUCUGAAUUUCCUAGUUUUAAAUAUUCCAGUGGCCAGGAUACCCUAUCCAGAGGAAGCAGGACCGUCUCAGCUGACCAGGGCCCUUGCCUGCUAAUAGCAUCAUGCAUACCUUGUUUCUUCAUGAGGCUGCUUGCCCGAGUUCCAAUCCACCAGGAAUUCAUCUUGUAUCAUAGCUGAUGGAUCCCGUGUCUCGUUUCUAAGUUGGAGCAUCACUUUGCAGCUCCCAACCAGGGCCAGCCACAAAAUUUGAAAGGCCCAGUGCAAAAUAAAAAUGCAGAGCCCCUUGUUCAAAAAGCAGGAAAAGAAUGGGCCAGCAAAGGAACUAAAAUAAACGAAAGCUUUUCCCUUUCUUCCAUGGUCUCUCUUUUGACCUAUCAUGGUGUUUUUAUUUGCUACUGAAUAUCAUGCUUUCUUGGGACAGGGUGAGUGUCAACUGUCACACUUGCCCAGGGGCCCUGCCGAGUGACUUGGUGGGUACACAGUCCACCAGCUGCUUGCAUGGCCACGCCCACCCUGAGAUGCCACGGGUAGUGUAGUAAAAGCAUCUGAUGUCAACCCCACACCCCUCCACACAUACACACUCAGGUUCCCGCAGACCAUGGAGGGCACCAGCGGUUGCUGGGUGAGGGUGGGGAUGGGGAGGCCAUGUGGGGCCCAGGACACCAAAGGGAGGGAGACGAGCAGUCAAUAAUGUGCCUGGGAGAGGUGGCGGACCAGCAGCAGAUGGGAGCACACAUGAGGCAGGCUCCAAGUGCUCACGUAUGCUCCACUGUCCAAUGAGGCCUCACUUACACCACACAAAUUCAAAGAUAAAAUAAAGUUUUUUUUGUUUUGUUUUGUUUUGUUUUGUUUUGGAGACAAGAGUCUCACUCUGUCACCCAGGCUAGAGUGCAGUGGCGCAAUCUUGGCUCACUGCAACUUCCACCUUCCAGGUUCAAGUGAUUCUCCUGCCUCAGCCUCCCAAACAGCUGGGGCUACAGGUGUCCACCACCACACCUGGCUAAUUUUUUGUAUUUUUAGUAGAGAUGGGGUUUCUCCAUGCUGGCCAGGCUGGUCUCAAACUCCUGACCUCAAGUGAUCCGCCC